UGAGGAAUAUUGGUCAAUGGACGGAAGUCUGAACCAGCCAUGCCGCGUGAAGGAAUAAGGCCCUACGGGUCGUAAACUUCUUUUGUGGUGGAGCAAUAAGACGUACGUGUACGUCGAUGAGAGUACAUCACGAAUAAGCAUCGGCUAACUCCGUGCCAGCAGCCGCGGUAAUACGGAGGAUGCGAGCGUUAUCCGGAUUUAUUGGGUUUAAAGGGUGCGCAGGCGGGCGUCUAAGUCAGCGGUGAAAGUUCCCGGCUCAACCGGGUCAGUGCCGAUGAUACUGGGGGUCUUGAAUGCGGUCGAGGCCGGUGGAAUGUGGCGUGUAGCGGUGAAAUGCAUAGAUAUGCCACAGAACACCGAUAGCGAAGGCAGCUGGCCGGGCCUGCAUUGACGCUGAGGCACGAAAGCGUGGGGAUCGAACAGGAUUAGAUACCCUGGUAGU
RNAcentral lists this ribosomal RNA (442 nucleotides) under uncultured bacterium. Its description in RNAcentral is "bacterial SSU rRNA". It matches the Rfam family "Bacterial small subunit ribosomal RNA", at positions 355 to 794 of the family's 1533-position model. The record is from RNAcentral.